RNAcentral lists this ribosomal RNA (240 nucleotides) under Lophiotrema sp. Its description in RNAcentral is "partial large subunit ribosomal RNA". It matches the Rfam family "Eukaryotic large subunit ribosomal RNA", at positions 46 to 287 of the family's 3401-position model. The record is from RNAcentral. Lineage: Eukaryota; Fungi; Ascomycota; Dothideomycetes; Pleosporales; Lophiotremataceae.
UCUACCGGAGAUGAACCAACAGGGAUUGCCCUAGUAACGGCGAGUGAAGCGGCAAGAGCUCAAAUUUGAAAUCUGGCUCCUUUGGGGCCCGAGUUGUAAUUUGUAGAGGGUGCUUUGGCGUCGGCCGUGGCCUAAGUUCCUUGGAACAGGACGUCACAGAGGGUGAGAACCCCGUACGUGGCCGCCGGUCUUCGCCGUGUAAAGCCCCUUCGACGAGUCGAGUUGUUUGGGAAUGCAGCU